AUUGAACGCUGGCGGCAGGCUUAACACAUGCAAGUCGAGCGGGGUGAUGGUGCUUGCACUAUCACUUAGCGGCGGACGGGUGAGUAAUGCUUAGGAAUCUGCCUAUUAGUGGGGGACAGCAUCUCGAAAGGGAUGCUAAUACCGCAUACGUCCUACGGGAGAAAGCGGGGGAUCACUUGUGACCUUGCGCUAAUAGAUGAGCCUAAGUCGGAUUAGCUAGUUGGUGGGGUAAAGGCCUACCAAGGCGACGAUCUGUAGCGGGUCUGAGAGGAUGAUCCGCCACACUGGGGCUGGAACACGGCCCAGACUCCUACGGGAGGCAGCAGUGGGGAAUAUUGGACAAUGGGGGGAACCCUGAUCCAGCCAUGCCGCGUGUGUGAAGAAGGCCUUAUGGUUGUAAAGCACUUUAAGCGAGGAGGAGGCUCUUUUGGUUAAUACCCAAGAUGAGUGGACGUUACUCGCAGAAUAAGCACCGGCUAACUCUGUGCCAGCAGCCGCGGUAA
Molecule: ribosomal RNA, 503 nt
Filed under: uncultured bacterium
Lineage: Bacteria
Description: partial 16S ribosomal RNA
Rfam family: Bacterial small subunit ribosomal RNA
Source: RNAcentral